This 301-nucleotide ribosomal RNA is filed under the name uncultured bacterium. RNAcentral's name for it is "partial 16S ribosomal RNA". It matches the Rfam family "Bacterial small subunit ribosomal RNA", at positions 509 to 808 of the family's 1533-position model. The record is from RNAcentral.
CAGCAGCCGCGGUAAAACGUAGGUCCCGAGCGUUGUCCGGAUUUAUUGGGCGUAAAGCGAGCGCAGGCGGUUAGAUAAGUCUGAAGUUAAAGGCUGUGGCUUAACCAUAGUACGCUUUGGAAACUGUUUAACUUGAGUGCAAGAGGGGAGAGCGGAAUUCCAUGUGUAGCGGUGAAAUGCGUAGAUAUAUGGAGGAACACCGGUGGCGAAAGCGGCUCUCUGGCUUGUGACUGACGCUGAGGCUCGAAAGCGUGGGGCGCAAACAGGAUUAGAUACCCCUGUAGUCCCUGUCUCUUAUACC